GGGGGUAUAGCUCAGUUGGUAGAGCACAUGCAUGGCAUGCAUGGGGUCAGCGGUUCGAAUCCGCUUACCUCCACCA
This 76-nucleotide transfer RNA is filed under the name Verrucomicrobiales bacterium. RNAcentral describes it as "tRNA-Ala". It matches the Rfam family "tRNA". From Rfam's summary of the family: Transfer RNA (tRNA) molecules are approximately 80 nucleotides in length. The record is from RNAcentral. Lineage: Bacteria; Pseudomonadati; Verrucomicrobiota; Verrucomicrobiia; Verrucomicrobiales. RNAcentral also lists the same sequence under 1 other name.